ACUAUUUAUUUAUGUUUAAUCUGCUUCUGUUUUGGCUGGAGGUUGAAGUUAGACUGGGUUGGGUUGGCAGAGGAGUUAAUGGUGGUAUGGCUGAUUUGCAGUGAUUACGACGGCACCCUUUCCAGCAACUUUGAACCAUCUUCAACCGGUGCAUAUAAGGGUGAAGGAAGAAGAAGGAGAAAAAAAGAAAGCUGUAGGUUACGUUGCCUUAUAUUAUAAGUGAGAAGCUUGGGUGGUGUUGGAAAGCAUUAUCCAACUGCCAAAUGGGUUGUCAUGUCUCAGAAAAAGAAGAACAAGCACAAUCAGUAAGGCAUAAACAGCAAGUUUAGGCGCUGAUGGCAAAGAGAACUCAGAAAUAUGUAAUGGUGGUUAUUUGGCAGGAACCACAUGUGAUUGAUUGUGCUUUGUUUUGUUUGUACAUCUCACAAUUAGUGAUCCAUUCUUGGUGGUGUUGCCGAAGGGGAUAGAUUAAUAGUUGUUGGAUAGACUUUUUUAUCCUUUUGAUGAGUCAAGUAUGUACUGAAUGAUCUUAAAAAAAUGGUGAGCAUAGCAGCGCAUAAAGAAGGUAAUAUUUUACAACCGAUCAACACCUAAUUUUUUAUUUUUUAAUCUUUUGGCAUUUCAUCUGAUGCAUAUGUUCAGUUUAGAUUGCCAAUUAAAAUCAAAGUAUAUCCAAACUCAGAAUUGAGAAAUUUGAUGUCAGCUGCUGACAUUUUUCUUUUUUUAAUGUUAAUUGGAAUCUCUUUUUCUUCCUAUCUUCCCCUCUCCUUUUCUUUUUUGGUGUUUUGAUUUGGUUGUACAAAGAAUAUAGGAUAAUAGGAACCAAGACUGCUGGACAAAUAAGGAGCCAUGCAUAGAAAUUCUUCACAAAGGCAAAAGAUAAGUCAGGACAAGAGCCUUUACCAUCCAAGAGUCAAACCCAAUCAACUGAUGGGAAUUUGCAUGGAACGGAUACAAAUGAAAGUGUUCAUGGUAGCAAUCUUGAAGACGCCACGAUAUCAGAUACUGAACUUUCAACAAGAUUGCAGUCUAUUAAGCAGCUUUUUGUCGAGCGCAGCGACAGUUACAACAUUCCACAACUCAAAAGGCUUUACUCACGAAUGAUGAAGAGGGUUUCCCAAACCAAACUUGAUUGUAAGACCUCAGCUUUGAGUUUUUUAUUAAACUUUGUUAAGGAUGAUCCAAAUUUUUAAAUUACUGUGAAGAAGGGAAAGGUUCUAAGUUGAAGGUCAUAAUACACAAAUCAAACUAAAUAAAUUUAUUUACAGGCAUUCUUUUCCUCAAAUCCAGAGUAGCAUAGCUAUAGGAAACCACAAGAUGUAGCUAUAGGAUGCUACGAUUUAUUGUCUAUGGUAAUUACAUGCCAAAUUCUGCUGGCAUGGAUAAAUUUUACAAGUUGGCAUUUUUUAAGAUAUUUUUGUUGUUUAGAUAUUGAAAUUGAUGUUUAGAUAAUUUUUUGUUGAAAGGUACUUUUAAGAUAAUUCUUUA
Arachis ipaensis is the source of this 1488-nucleotide non-coding RNA. The record is from RefSeq and is a predicted model, not a curated record. Lineage: Eukaryota; Viridiplantae; Streptophyta; Magnoliopsida; Fabales; Fabaceae.